UCCUUGGUGGCUCAGACGGUAAAGCGUCUGCCUGCAAUGCGGGAGACCUGGGUUCAAUCCCUGGGUCAGGAA
This 72-nucleotide transfer RNA is filed under the name Bos taurus (domestic cattle). It matches the Rfam family "tRNA". Rfam says of the family: Transfer RNA (tRNA) molecules are approximately 80 nucleotides in length. Their secondary structure includes four short double-helical elements and three loops (D, anti-codon, and T loops). The record is from Rfam by way of RNAcentral. Lineage: Eukaryota; Metazoa; Chordata; Mammalia; Artiodactyla; Bovidae. RNAcentral also lists the same sequence under 5 other names.